GGGUCGCAUCACUGGAGUCAGAGUUUAUGAAUAUCCAAACUAUGGAUACUACUCCAACAACUACCUCAAUGGGAUCCAGCUGCAAUAUAACAGUAACUGGACAGAACUGGUUGGUGUGAACGUUUAUGGCAAUGAAAAGGAGAUGACACUCUUUCAACAAUGAACAUUUUGUUCAGAUCUCAGGAAAGUAUUAUUCUGGUUACAUCAGUGAGCUUAUGUUUGUCACUAACGAGGGGCGCUCUUUUAAAGUGGGGCAGCCUUACGGAAUUUCAUUCAACUUCUACCCAACCCACGAUGGAAGUGAACUACGUUUCAUCAGCGGUCGUCAGAAUGGAUUUGCCCUCACCUCCAUUGGGGCUCAUUGGGCUGUCUACUACAAUUCCACUUCAUAAAGUCAGAAAUAUCUCACAGGCUGCACAUUAUGUGUGUAUGUGAGGAAAAGGCCAGUUAACAAGUAACAUGUUUUUCUUGAGCUCUUUAUGAUGGAUGAAAUUUUGGUACCUUUUUGAGCUGUCAGCUUUAUUAGAAUGAUUUCUGGUUAAUAAUUUACUGAUCAAUUAAUUAAACACUAAGAAGACUGGAAUCAAAUUGUUUUACUUCUAAUGAUGCUUUAAGGGCUUCUCCUUUAACACAACAAUUCCUAAAGGCCCUUGUAACAAUGAUUUAAAAUUUUUAUUACACAGAGGCUGAUUUUUAUUCAAGGUAACGAUUAAACUUGAAGUGUUGAAGUUUAUUUUAAUUAAAACAACUGAUAAACAUUUAUAUGAAGAUCACAAUAAAACUGCCUUAUUAAAACA
Long non-coding RNA from Cyprinus carpio (common carp), 797 nucleotides. RefSeq lists it as uncharacterized. NCBI's taxonomy places the organism in Eukaryota, Metazoa, Chordata, Actinopteri, Cypriniformes, Cyprinidae. The record is from RefSeq and is a predicted model, not a curated record. The transcript has 2 exons.